Molecule: ribosomal RNA, 875 nt
Filed under: uncultured crenarchaeote
Lineage: Archaea; Thermoproteati; Thermoproteota
Description: bacterial SSU rRNA
Rfam family: Archaeal small subunit ribosomal RNA
Source: RNAcentral
CCCGACUGCUAUCAGAGUGAGACUAAGCCAUGCGAGUUAACGUAUGAAUAAUACGUGGCACACGGCUCAGUAACACGUAGUCAACAUGCCCAGAGGACGUGGAUAACCUCGGGAAACUGAGGAUAAACCGCGAUAGGCCAUAAUUACUGGAAUGGGUUAUGGCUAAAAUCUACAUGGCCCCUGGAUUGGACUGUGGCCGAUCAGGCUGUUGGUGAGGUAAUGGCCCACCAAACCUAAAACCGGUACGGGCUCUGAGAGGAGAAGCCCGGAGAUGGGCACUGAGACAAGGGCCCAGGCCCUAUGGGGCGCAGCAGGCGCGAAAACUCUGCAAUAAGCGAAAGCUUGACAGGGUUAUUCUGAGUGAUUUCCGCUAAGGAAAUCUUUUGGCACCUCUAAAAAUGGUGCAGAAUAAGGGGUGGGCAAGCCUGGUGUCAGCCGCCGCGGUAAUACCAGCACCCCGAGUGGUCGGGACGAUUAUUGGGCCUAAAGCAUCCGUAGCCGGUUCUACAAGUCUUCCGUUAAAUCCAUCUGCUUAACAGAUGGGCUGCGGAGGAUACUAUGGAGCUAGGAGGCGGGAGAGGCAAGCGGUACUUAGUGGGUAGGGGUAAAAUCCGUUGACCCACUGAAGACCACCAGUGGCGAAGGCGGCUUGCCGGAACGCGCUCGACGGUGAGGGAUGAAAGCUGGGGGAGCAAACCGGAUUAGAUACCCGGGUAGUCCCAGCUGUAAACGAUGCAGACUCGGUGAUGAAUAGGCUUCGUGCCUUUUCAGUGCCGCAGGGAAGCCGUUAAGUCUGCCGCCUGGGGAGUACGGUCGCAAGACUGAAACUUAAAGGAAUUGGCGGGGGAGCACCACAAGGGUGAAGCCUGCGGUUC